GGUCCAGACUCCUACGGGAGGCAGCAGUAGGGAAUCUUUCACAAUGGGCGAAAGCCUGAUGGAGCAACGCCGCGUGCAGGAUGAAGGCCUUCGGGUUGUAAACUUCUUUUCUCAGGGACGAAGAAAGUGACGGUACCUGAGGAAUAAGCCACGGCUAACUACGUGCCAGCAGCCGCGGUAAUACGUAGGUGGCAAGCGUUAUCCGGAUUUAUUGGGUGUAAAGGGCGUGUAGGCGGGAGCGCAAGUCAGAUGUGAAAACUCAGGGCUCAACCCUGAGCCUGCAUUUGAAACUGUGUUUCUUGAGUGCUGGAGAGGCAAUCGGAAUUCCGUGUGUAGCGGUGAAAUGCGUAGAUAUACGGAGGAACACCAGUGGCGAAGGCGGAUUGCUGGACAGUAACUGACGCUGAGGCGCGAAAGCGUGGGGAGCAAACAGGAUUAGAUACCCUAGUA
RNAcentral lists this ribosomal RNA (450 nucleotides) under uncultured bacterium. RNAcentral's name for it is "bacterial SSU rRNA". It matches the Rfam family "Bacterial small subunit ribosomal RNA", at positions 328 to 792 of the family's 1533-position model. The record is from RNAcentral.